GCGAAGGGCUCCUUUUGGGUGCUGUGGCUAAGCUCACUUAUUUUGUACUAGUCGUCUUCGUAUCUUUCAUCUCCAGCUUCUUCUGUCUGUGAGUCAUCAAUCAUCCACCGAUUCCAGCUGCUACUUAUUCUCUGACCCACACCGUUACAUGUUUAAAUUUUUGUCAGGAUUUUGGUCUUCUCCAAAGUUGGAUGAUUUACCAGAAUACAUUUCUUGUCCUAAGCGCAACGGGAAAAUGUGUUUAAUGACGGACAACAAAAGUUUAUUAGGAAAAAGUUACAGAUGCCGUACCAAAGGAAGAAAGAGUAGGAAAAUAUGCAACAGCAAUGUUUCUGUACUUAACCUAACAUUUUCAAGCCAC
Molecule: long non-coding RNA, 361 nt
Filed under: Androctonus crassicauda
Lineage: Eukaryota; Metazoa; Arthropoda; Arachnida; Scorpiones; Buthidae
Source: RNAcentral